This 253-nucleotide ribosomal RNA is filed under the name uncultured bacterium. RNAcentral describes it as "partial 16S ribosomal RNA". It matches the Rfam family "Bacterial small subunit ribosomal RNA", at positions 524 to 776 of the family's 1533-position model. The record is from RNAcentral.
UACGUAGGGUCCGAGCGUUAAUCGGAAUUACUGGGCGUAAAGCGUGCGCAGGCGGUUUUGUAAGCCAGAUGUGAAAGCCCCGGGCUUAACCAGGGAAUGGCAUUUGGGACUGCAAGGCUGGAGUACGGCAGAGGGAGGUGGAAUUCCAGGUGUAGCAGUGAAAUGCGUAGAUAUCUGGAGGAACACCGAUGGCGAAGGCAAUCCCCUGGGCCUGUACUGACGCUCAUGCACGAAAGCGUGGGGAGCAAACAGG